This 450-nucleotide ribosomal RNA is filed under the name uncultured Glomus. Its description in RNAcentral is "SSU rRNA". It matches the Rfam family "Eukaryotic small subunit ribosomal RNA", at positions 569 to 1025 of the family's 1831-position model. Lineage: Eukaryota; Fungi; Glomeromycota; Glomeromycetes; Glomerales; Glomeraceae. The record is from RNAcentral.
AGCAGCCGCGGUAAUUCCAGCUCCAAUAGCGUAUAUUAAAGUUGUUGCAGUUAAAAAGCUCGUAGUUGAAUUUCGAGACCGGUUUACUGGUCGUGCUUUUGUACGUACUGGUAUUAUUGGUUUCUCCUUUCUGACGAAUCAUAAUGCCAUUAAUUUGGUGUUUUGGGGAAUCAGGACUGUUACUUUGAAAAAUUAGAGUGUUUAAAGCAGGCUCACGCUUGAAUACAUUAGCAUGGAAUAACGAAAUAGGACGUUUGAUUUUAUUUUGUUGGUUUCUAGGAUCGACGUAAUGAUUAAUAGGGAUAGUUGGGGGCAUUAGUAUUCAAUUGUCAGAGGUGAAAUUCUUGGAUUUAUUGAAGACUAACUACUGCGAAAGCAUUUGCCAAGGAUGUUUUCAUUAAUCAAGAACGAAAGUUAGGGGAUCGAAGACGAUCAGAUACCGUCGUAGUC